This 309-nucleotide ribosomal RNA is filed under the name uncultured fungus. RNAcentral's name for it is "SSU rRNA". It matches the Rfam family "Eukaryotic small subunit ribosomal RNA", at positions 39 to 352 of the family's 1831-position model. The record is from RNAcentral. Lineage: Eukaryota; Fungi.
AAAGAUUAAGCCAUGCAUGUCUAAGUAUAAGCAAUUUGUACGGUGAAACUGCGAAUGGCUCAUUAAAUCAGUUAUCGUUUAUUUGAUAGUACCUUCUACAUGGAUACCCGUGGUAAUUCUAGAGCUAAUACAUGCUAAAAACCUCGACUUCGGAAGGGGUGUAUUUAUUAGAUAAAAAACCAAUGCCCUUCGGGGCUCCUUGGUGAUUCAUAAUAACUUGUCGAAUCGCUUGGCCUUGCGCUGGCGAUGGUUCAUUCAAAUUUCUGCCCUAUCAACUUUCGACGGCUGGGUCUUGGCCAGCCGUGGUGA